CCUACGGGAGGCAGCAGUGAGGAAUAUUGGUCAAUGGCCGGAAGGCUGAACCAGCCAUGCCGCGUGAAGGUCAGUGCCCUAUGGGCGUUAAACUUCUUUUGUGCGGGAGCAAUAAUGGUCACGUGUGGCCAGACGAGAGUACCGUACGAAUAAGCAUCGGCUAACUCCGUGCCAGCAGCCGCGGUAAUACGGGGGAUGCAAGCGUUAUCCGGAUUGAUUGGGGUUAAAGGGUGCGUAGGCUGUGAGGUAAGUCAGCGGUGAAAUGCCCCCGGUCAAGGGGGUGAAGUGCAUUUGAUACUGGCUUGCUUGAGUGCGGAAGCGGUAGGAGGAAUGUGUGGUGUAGCGGUGAAAUGCAUAGAUAUCACGCAGAACACCGAUUGCGAAGGCAUCUCACGGAUCCGCGAUUGACGCUGAUGCACGAAAGCGUGGGUAUCAAACAGGAUUAGAUACCUCUGUAGUC
This 460-nucleotide ribosomal RNA is filed under the name uncultured bacterium. Its description in RNAcentral is "partial 16S ribosomal RNA". It matches the Rfam family "Bacterial small subunit ribosomal RNA", at positions 338 to 795 of the family's 1533-position model. The record is from RNAcentral.